UGUCUAAGUCCAAGCUGUGUUUACAUGGCGAGACCGCGGACGGCUCAUUAAAUCAGUCGUGGUCCAUAUGGGCUUGAGUUAACUUUACUUGGAUAACUGUGGUAAUUCCAGAGCUAAUACAUGCAACUCCUAUCCUGACGUGUGCUUGUCGCACAGACGGAUGCUUUUAUUAGACCAAACCGCUAGGUGCGUCUGCCGUGUCUCUUUCAUCGCAUAUUUUUGUGGUGUUGGUGCAUGCGGUGGCGCAUUGCUCGUUCGAUGGUGACUCUGGAUAACCUUUGUUUUGACAAGCGAACGUACCCCUUUGUUGGGACGUCGCUGCCACUUUCGAGUGUCUGACUUAUCAGCUAUCAACCGUUCGUUAUGUGCGACCGAUGGCUUUGACGGGUAACGGGGAAUCAGUGUUCGAUUCCGGAGAGGCAGCCUGAGAAACGGCUACCACGUCCAAGGACGGCAGCAGGCACGCAAAUUACCCAAUCCCAGCUCCUGGGGGAGGUAGUGACGAAAUAUAACGAUGCGGGCGCCCUUUCUGGGGCCCCGCAAUCGGAAUGGGCACUUUCUAAACAACCUGUUGAGAACCUACUGAAGGGCAAGUCUGGUGCCAGCAGCCGCGGUAAUUCCAGCUUCAGCAGCAUCUAUUAAAGUUGCUGCGCUUAAAGGCUCGCAGUUGAAUGUCAGUAUUGAGCGCAGUUCUCGUGGACGCUGGGGCGUG
Molecule: ribosomal RNA, 712 nt
Filed under: Scopelocheirus schellenbergi
Lineage: Eukaryota; Metazoa; Arthropoda; Malacostraca; Amphipoda; Lysianassidae
Description: bacterial SSU rRNA
Rfam family: Eukaryotic small subunit ribosomal RNA
Source: RNAcentral